UACGUAGGGGACUAGCGUUGUCCGGAUUUAUUGGGCGUAAAGAGCGUGUAGGCGGCCAGAUAGGUCGGUUGUGAAAACUGGAGGCUUAACCUCCAGCCGUCGACCGAAACCAUUUGGCUAGAGUCCGGAAGAGGAGAGUGGAAUUCCUGGUGUAGCGGUGAAAUGCGCAGAUAUCAGGAAGAACACCCGUGGCGAAGGCGGCUUCCUGGACCGACACUGACGCUGAGGUGCGAAAGCGUGGGGAGCAAACAGG
RNAcentral lists this ribosomal RNA (253 nucleotides) under uncultured bacterium. Its description in RNAcentral is "partial 16S ribosomal RNA". It matches the Rfam family "Bacterial small subunit ribosomal RNA", at positions 524 to 776 of the family's 1533-position model. The record is from RNAcentral.